UACGUAGGGUGCAAGCGUUGUCCGGAAUUAUUGGGCGUAAAGAGCUCGUAGGCGGUCUGUCGCGUCGGAUGUGAAAACCCAGGGCUCAACCCUGGGCCUGCAUUCGAUACGGGCAGACUAGAGUUCGGUAGGGGAGACUGGAAUUCCUGGUGUAGCGGUGAAAUGCGCAGAUAUCAGGAGGAACACCGAUUGCGAAGGCAGCUCGCUGGGACGUUACUGACGCUGAGACGCGAAAGCGUGGGGAGCAAACAGG
RNAcentral lists this ribosomal RNA (253 nucleotides) under uncultured bacterium. RNAcentral's name for it is "partial 16S ribosomal RNA". It matches the Rfam family "Bacterial small subunit ribosomal RNA", at positions 524 to 776 of the family's 1533-position model. The record is from RNAcentral.